UUUGGGUAAUUUGACAUGCAAACCCAUCAUUUUCAUAACAUGCAUUAAUAGGCCACUUCACAUUUGCCUAGCACAUUUCUAAAUUUUCUCACAUAAGUCCUAUUUAAUAAAAUUCACUUACAAUUAACAAAAUUCAAGCAUGAAAUUUUCACACAUGCAUAUAUACAUAUAAUAAGCAUCAAAUAUGAUGGCUAAUUAUUAGUAUGACUCGGUUUUGUGGUCCCGAAACCACUUCCCGACUAGGGUCAAUUUUGGGCUGUCACACAAAAUAUUAG
Molecule: long non-coding RNA, 275 nt
Filed under: Gossypium barbadense (sea-island cotton)
Lineage: Eukaryota; Viridiplantae; Streptophyta; Magnoliopsida; Malvales; Malvaceae
Description: long non-coding RNA (GBAR_LNC014101)
Source: RNAcentral